ACACUUGGGUUCAUCUUCAUGAGGUGUAAUGGCGCCGGGAUGCGCUCUCCUCUUCUCAUUUGCCAAUUUAUUGCAGAUCCCUCCUCAAAAAAGUUUUGGGACUAACUCAGCCCCAUGGAGAUCAAGGUGAAUUAGAAAAACAACAAAACAAAACAAGAUUCAUUUUAACAUCUCAUUUUUCUAUCUCCAACUUUCCCUCCCCUCCUCCCACCCCAGGAAGAAAAGACUACGUUUGUUUCUGGUGAUACAUUCAUUGUAGGUGGGUGGGUGACUUCUAGAAGAGGAAAAUCAAGAAGAUUUGGAGAAGGAGUCUUGGAAGCUCUGGUGAAGUUUUCCAAAACUGGGAAGGACAGAGCCACAGGUCUGCCUGUUCUUUUGCUUUGCCAUUUGUGUGGAUACCUAGUAGAGCAAUUUGGGUGCCAUUCUUUGAGGAAUCCAUUGGAUCUGUCAGAAAGCUGAGUCUGCUCAGCCUGUGUUAGUGGAGAAGAGGGAAGGAAACUGGCUGGAGGCCGCUGGACCCACAGAGGACAAUAGACAAUCUCCUGCUUGGAAGAAAAAGAAAAUGAGACCCAGAAGACCCAAAUCACAAAUCAAAAGGACCUCACAGAAGAUUCUACAAUUGAGAUUAUUUAUCCUGGGAUGCCCACUGGAUCCAAAGAGAGAAACUCUAUAGAAUUAUGAUCUAGGUUUGACUGACUCCUGGCAAGAAGCCCUACCCGCCAGCCAAUUUGGAUGAGAUGCCAUCAGCGACCUGCCCGUAUCGCCUUGCCCCACCGAGAAGUCAGGCCACAGACAGUUCCUGUAUAUAGCAGUGCUUCUUUUGGCUUCUGUCUGUAGGUGUUUUCUCACCACAGAAGAGUGCUCAGCCCUCUGGAAGUUCUCUAAAGAGUUAGAUCUCCCAGGGGUGAUCAUCUAUCAAUGAAGGAUGGGAAUUGGUAAACAACUAUUCCAGAUUCCUUGCUUCUCAGUGGAAUAAUUCUGAGGUGCAUUCUACAGUUUCUCAGAAGGAAUCGAGCCCUAGUUAUUUGCAAUGGUUUCUCACUCAUUAAUGCAUCUUUAUGGCUUUACUACUUUCCGUAUCUGAGGUCAUCACUUUAUCACUAUUUCCUGGGACCACUUCCUAAAUAAACUAUAUACA
Molecule: long non-coding RNA, 1138 nt
Filed under: Homo sapiens (human)
Lineage: Eukaryota; Metazoa; Chordata; Mammalia; Primates; Hominidae
Description: long intergenic non-protein coding RNA 1980
Source: RNAcentral